Molecule: RNA transcript, 962 nt
Organism: Camelina sativa (false flax)
Lineage: Eukaryota; Viridiplantae; Streptophyta; Magnoliopsida; Brassicales; Brassicaceae
Source: RefSeq, a predicted model, not a curated record
AAACCCCAGAAAUCCUUUUGUUGGGGGAUAAGUGGGAGAGCGGUGGAUUUUGUAUGGAGCCGCCGAGUUCGAGACCGGAGGAGCCUCCGUCAUGGGAGGACCUUUACAAAAUUAACUUAAUGCCGUCGGAGCUAUUCGUCAAGUUCCGCAAAGAGCUUCAAGGCCUUCGCGUUGGUGUCAAUCUAGAGUUAUACAACGAACCUACGAAUGAUUACCACGCAAAGCUUGUUUUGAAGCCUCUAUGUCCAGAAAGGAAGUGGAAGUUUAUAUAUGAGCCACUACACCAAGAAGUUCGCGUUUUAUCAAAGAAGAUUCCUCUAACCAGAUUCCUAAACCUCCAGGUUGGUGUUGGACAUAAUUUUCAAAUGAAUGCAAUUGGUUGGAAAUGGAAGCUUACCACAUGUUUGGGUGGGGAUGGUGUGUCUCGGAUUCGAAACAAAACUAUGCUUGGUCUUAGUCCUGGUAUCGAUUUCCGGUUUGGAUGGAGAGCUGAUUUUGUACUCCCAGAGGUUACUGGGCAAGUCACAAAUCUUCAUGGCCCUUGGUACUGAGGAACCGUUAUUCAACAUGAGCUCCGGGCGUUUAGAGGCAUCACUGGACAGAGUAGAGGCCAUUAUAACCCAUUCAGAUUAUCUAUAACCAAUCAGUACUACUCUUCGUGAUGGGCAUGCUUGAAGGAACAAACAUUGCGAUAGCAAGGAUGAGAUGUUGACAAUAUCACAAGGCAAACAUGUGAAAGCACAAGCACUAUGGUGUUCACAACCGAAACAUAAGAAUAUCCAUAAGAUUUUGUUUUACAGAGAUGCUGAAAGCACAACCACUUGUGGGUAGUUUCAUGUCAGUUAUACGAUUCAGUAAUCACUAGUUUGAUGGACGUUCAUGCAAUAAAUGUAAAGAAAUGUAUAAUCGUUGGAUCUUUAAUGCAAGUUAGGUAGAGAGAUAUAUGCAUUUUUCUAACCGAA